RNAcentral lists this ribosomal RNA (163 nucleotides) under Hemiboea fangii. RNAcentral describes it as "5.8S ribosomal RNA". It matches the Rfam family "5.8S ribosomal RNA". Rfam says of the family: 5.8S ribosomal RNA (5.8S rRNA) is a component of the large subunit of the eukaryotic ribosome. It is transcribed by RNA polymerase I as part of the 45S precursor that also contains 18S and 28S rRNA. The record is from RNAcentral. Lineage: Eukaryota; Viridiplantae; Streptophyta; Magnoliopsida; Lamiales; Gesneriaceae.
AUAACGACUCUCGGCAACGGAUAUCUCGGCUCUCGCAUCGAUGAAGAACGUAGCGAAAUGCGAUACUUGGUGUGAAUUGCAGAAUCCCGUGAACCAUCGAGUCUUUGAACGCAAGUUGCGCCCGAAGCCAUUUGGUCGAGGGCACGUCUGCCUGGGCGUCACG